Molecule: long non-coding RNA, 1148 nt
Filed under: Ursus maritimus (polar bear)
Lineage: Eukaryota; Metazoa; Chordata; Mammalia; Carnivora; Ursidae
Description: lncRNA (ENSUMAG00000013860.1)
Source: RNAcentral
UUUGUUUUUCACAGAAAAGAUAUUCAUGUGGAACUCCGUGCCGGUUGGGGUCCUUUAUUUUAGAUGUCAGUUGAUGUCGAAGGUCAAGCAAUAGCCUUCACUUUACUGUUUGAAGGUCGGCUUUGGAUCCAUGAGAAAAUUGAAGUCACGAGGUGAAUUGCUGCCUUGACAGUUGCGGAGAAGAAUGAAGACAGAGAGUCAUAGUAUCCCAGGCUCAGAAGCUGCUGCUGGAGCCAGUAACUGAGAGAGAGAGAGCAAGUACAAGAAGGGGGAGCAGCAGAGGGAGAUGGAGAAGCAGUCUUCCCACUGAGCAGGGAGUCCGAUGCAGGGCUCGAUUCCAGGACCCUGGGAUCAUGACUUGAGUCAAAGGCAGACAGUUUCCUGGGAUCAUGGCCUGAGCUGAAGGCAGAUGCUUAACCAACUGAGCCACCCAGGUCCAACAGGGAAGAACUGGAAAUGCAGAGAAGGAAGCACACUUCCAUCUACAAAAGCCAGAGACAUGUCUUGCAAGAAGUUGCUGUGGCUGGGGUCAAAGAGGUUACUGCUUGUGUUCUCCUCCAGGGUUUUGAUGGGUUCCUGUCUCACACUGAGGUCUUUCAUCCAUUUUGAGUUUAUUUUGUAUACGGUGUAAUAAAAUAGUCCAGUUUCAUUUUUCUGAUGUGGCUGUCCAAUUUUCCCAGCACCAUUUAUUGAAGAGACUGUCUUUUUUCCAUUGGCUAUUCUUUCCUGCUUUGUUGAAGGUUAGCUGACCAUAGAGUUGAGAGUCCAUUUUUGGGUUCUCUAUUCUGUUCCAUUGAUCUAUGUGUCUGUUUUUGUGCCAACACCAUACUGUCUUGAUGAUCACAGCUUUGUAAUAUAGCUUGAAGUCAGGCAUUGUGAUGCCCCCAGCUUUGGUUUUCAUUUUCAACACUCUCCUGGCAACUCAGGGUCUUUUCUGUUCCCAUACAAAUUUUAGGAUUGUUUGUUCCAGCUCUGUGAAAAAGGUCAAUGGCAUUUUGAUAGGGAUUGCAUUGAAUGUGUAGAUUGCUCUGGGCAGCAUAGACAUUUUAACAAUGUUUAUUCUUCCAAUCCAUGAGCAUGGAAUAUUUUUCCAUUGCUUUGUGUUUUUCUCAAUUUCUUUCAUAAGUGUUCUGUAGUUUCUAGAGUAC